CCCUCUGCUCUCAAAAUCGCUCGCAUCUAUCUCUCAAACCUCUCUCUCAUCACGACCUCACCGAAUCCCUCUCAAACAAACAAGAAAAACAAAGACUGUUACAAAACAGGAAGCUCACCCUCGGACCUUUGAUGAAGAUGACAGCUCAGGGUUUCCAAUGGGGUCUUUGCAAUCGGUACAGCAAUAGGUUGUGUUGUAGCACCUCUCACAUUCUUUCUUUUCUACCAUUCGCUUGAUCUUGGAAACCCUAAUGGUGAAUACAAAGCACCGAAUGCUAUCAUCUAUAGAAACAUGGCAAUUCUUGGCGUUGAAGGCUUUUCAGCACUACCAAACCAUUGCUUGAAAUUCUGCUAUGCUUUUUUUGCAUUUGCUGUGUUGAUGAACUUUGUGUGUGGCUGGAACUGAACCACCUUUGUUCUGUCUGAAGUCAUUUUCAACAAUGCUGAAAGCUUGUAGUAAGAUCCUUCAGAUUUGAAAACCUUAACAUCAAUACUUUCAAUGUGUUUGUUGGUUUUGCAGGCUGCUGGUGCUUGGCGGCAGGACCAUGGCUUUGUAGGAAUUUGUUGACAAGAUAUUGUAGCAGCAGUCAAGAACUCAUUCGGAUAUGUUUGGUUUUGAUGUGCAGUCACCAUUGCCUCUUACUUUUAAAUCCAAGACUCCGAUAUAGCUAAAACAGUUGCACCAUUGCAGCUUGACAUGAUGAUGUACCACUCAGAUUUUGGUCUGUAGCAUUGGACCCUGAAUCCAGGAUAUCUCCUGUUUUUGCCUUUCCUGAAGUUACGGUCUUAACAUUACCGAUAGACUGAUUCCGCUUUAUAACAGGAACUUUUUUUUUUCUCUUUAAAAGAGACCUCGUGCCCAGUAUCAACCAGAGAAUCCCUCUCUUCAUCCAACUGUUUUUCUCUGGAUGAACCAAACGUCCCACGAAUCCUGGUUCACCUUGGGGCGCUCCACCACCAUCAAUCAGCCUAAUCUGCUGCUCCUGUGUAGGUUGUUGAUUGUCAAUAGAAGCUUCUUUUGGAGAAUUGCAAUUUGUGGAAUUUGAACUAGCUUCAUGUUUGUCUUGACGCGCUCCACCACUAUCAAUCAACCCAAUAUGCUGCUCUUGUGUAGGCAUGGCAUGAACAUAAACAUGGUUGGCCAAGGAUAACUUGCAAAUGAAGCACUCAUGAUGGAAGCAAGCAAACAUGAACAAUGGAGUGAUGGAUUAAGGGUGUUGUUAUGUUAACACAAGUUGGCGGCUAACCUCAACUUUUACUUCACCAUUCCGCUUCUGUUUCGAUAGGAACAACUGUUGGUUUUGACGGCGUGCAUCAUCUAUAUGUGCUACAUGAGAUGCUUUGGACUCGUUAUCUUCUUGAGCAUUACUGGAUGAGACAUCCACCUCCACGGAUGAUGACAAAUUUUCAGGUAUAGUAGCCGGGAGUGGUUGUGGGUUGUCAGAAUAAUCUCCGUCCACAGGCGGAACUGAAGCAUUUUGAUUGCUUGAGUUCUGCUCCGCUACAGUUUCAAGCUAUUGUCUUGAGUUACCUGCAUAAUGCCUUCUUGUACCAGAAGCUGGGAAAGAAAGCUGCUUCUUAGCAGGAGUACUUGGCACUUUGCUUUUAGUCUUUGCAACCUUUGCAGGUGCUGGAAGUACGCUCCUUGAAGCUAGAGUUUGAUGACUUGGUUUUUGGCUUGUAGGAGAGUUUUUACUAUCUUGAUUUUGAUCUCUUAGAGCAUACAAUUUGGAGAUUUCUCCAACUGACAUAGUGUGAUUUGCAGCACCUUUUGCUGAUUUAUGAUUCUCUUCAUCCUUUGUGUGAACUAUCGGAAGGAAAAUCCUUACCGACAGUAACAUUACCACCAUCCGAUGGACUAAUUCUAUCUACAUUUACAGUAGAUGAAGGGGCGGAAUUCACAUUAGUAAUUCCAGAUGAUACAGUUGUAGGCCCAUUGGCAAUAGCUGGAACAGUGCUUGUUCCAGAACUUUUUUUCCUAGCCUUUGUCCCUUGCGAACCUGGCAAAGGAGGCACACCCUUUGAAGUUUCUUGGUUAUGACUUGGUGUGGAUGGUUGGACAAGGUAUGCACCAAGUGAUUUGCACAAGUUUGAAGGAAUUUUGGAAUGACAAAAGGCAAAAGUCAAUUGUUGACCGAAGUCAACAAAUGGACAAAAUGUGUUUUCUUUAUGAUUUCUUUGUAAAUGUCAAAUUUUGUAUUUUAUUGUAUGGAAUCAAAUGUAAUGGUUUACAAUGACAUGAAAUAAAUUGAAAUGGAUUAACAAAA
Long non-coding RNA from Lathyrus oleraceus (garden pea), 2266 nucleotides. RefSeq lists it as uncharacterized. NCBI's taxonomy places the organism in Eukaryota, Viridiplantae, Streptophyta, Magnoliopsida, Fabales, Fabaceae. The transcript has 7 exons. The record is from RefSeq and is a predicted model, not a curated record.